GUGAGCCCUCGCUGCGGCACCGCCGGCUGCCCUGAGCUUCGGCCCGCUGCCCUAGGCCGGCAUCUGAUGCUCCUUCCUGCGCGGCCGUGCCGGGGGUCUCAGAAGCUGAGCUGCUCUACAUUCACAUGCCAAAGCAGAACCCAUUCCUCCUGCUCAGCCCUCAGCCCUGCCUGCAGCUCUGUAAAGCUGCUGUGGAAGAGCCUGGCUGAGAGACAUCCUUCCUGUUCACCUCCUCAAGCAUCAGGUGGUGACAACUGGGACCACUAGAGAAGCCCAUCUCUUCCCCUCAUCCUCUAAGACCAGGAGAUCUGGCUGCCCUGUCUUGAGGAAGCUGCACCCUGGAGUUGUGGUCCUGUGGUGCAUCACACCAGGAAGGUCUUCUGUGUCUCUGCAGGGCCUUGCUGGGGUCAGCUGCAGCAGCACAUAAAGAUGGGGGAAGGGAGAAGAUCGACACAGGCGCUGGUGAUGUUUCCUAGCUCGCAGAGAUGCAGCCAGCUUUAAGUAAAGCUUUGGUCCACAUGAC
Dryobates pubescens (Downy woodpecker) is the source of this 523-nucleotide long non-coding RNA. RefSeq lists it as uncharacterized. The transcript has 4 exons. The record is from RefSeq and is a predicted model, not a curated record. Lineage: Eukaryota; Metazoa; Chordata; Aves; Piciformes; Picidae.